UCGGUUCCCUCUGCGGGCGAAGGGUGGAGAACCUUCCACGGGGACGCGGAUCAGCGGGACAGAGCACGCAGGGAAAGUGUGGGGACUGAGGAGGGGACGGAGGUGUACCCGUAAGUUCGGUCCCGCCCCUCAGCGGCCUGCGCGCCCAAAUAAAUUAAGGCGGGAGCUGAGCCCAGGCGCCAAGCACGACCUGGCCUUGGGUCCGGAGCUCAGGAGCCCUGGGAGACCUUAAAGCCCGAGGCCCCUCCGCUCCCGUGCCUGGGGCAGAGACGUCGCUGGUCAGGUGCCGGACCCGCCUUGGUCCCCCUUCCUGAGAUGCACGGGACAGGAUGCGUCCUCAGCGACACCUGCUGCCUCCUCGCCACUGGCUUCUGCCCUCUGGGUCGCACUUGCCGCGCCUCCCUGGCUGUCACCUUAUAAGGUGGACCCAAAGCAAAGGGUAAGUUGGAGCCUCCAGCCUCAUCCUCUUCCCUGCCUCCUCUCUGAACUUCUUGGGUCGGGGGUUUAACCAUUUGCAUUUCCACCUUUGGUCUCAUCACUUUCAUUCUGAAAAGAAAGAAUUUCGGGCCCCUAAUGAAAGUCCCGUCCGAAAUCAACGUGGUUGAAGGCAGUUGUCAGCUAGACUGCCAUCAAGGAUAGUUUUGAGUGGAUUUUGUGCCCCUGGAGCCUAAACCUUCAGAGAAAACGCUGAGAACAAAAGCGAAAGCAAAAUGUUCCGAGGUCAGAUAGACAGUGUCCAGCUCUGCCGCCUGCAUGAGGCAGAAAGAAUCUUUCUUUUUCUUUUGAGAUGCUGAAGAUUGAAUACAAGGGCGCUCUAUCAGGAGCUACAUCCUCUGCUUCUUUAAUUUUUUUUUUUUUAAAUUUUGUGACUGCAUGUUGCUAAAUGGUCCAGGCAGACCUCGAUUUGCAAUCCUCCUGCUUUAGCCUCCAAGAAGCUGGGAUCACAGGCAUGUGUUGCAGCACCUGACUAUGAUUAACAUCUUAAAGUUUCCUUUGGUCACUUCCAUCAUUAUCUCUAGAUCCAAUCAUUUGAACAUCUAUCCAGCCACCAGGUAAACAUCAUUUCAAUAACUUCAAAUACCCACUCAAACCAGUGUGGGGAUUAGUGUAAUGAUCACCUGAGCCUGAGAAGACUCCAGCUUCUUGAUGAGUGGUCUACCACUUCUUGGCUCCUGGUCUACCACCUCUGACACAGCCAUUCAGAGGUCCAGACACAGGAAGAACACACAGGGCCCCAUCUCAUGGCCUGGGCCUCAGGCCUGUGGCAUCAGAAUGGGGGGAACUAACUGCUUAGUUAGGAAAGCCCUGGCUAGGGAUCAGCUUGUUUAAGUGCAGGACUCUUGCAUAAUCUCUUUAUUGACCUCUUUCCUUCCACCAGAGAGCACUGACCAGAAGUGCAAAUUGAUGCAGGAAAAUGUUUUAAAAAAAUGAGUGCAACAGUCAUCAGUCAAAAAUGUCAUGACAUCUAUUUCAGAAAGUACAAUCUACAACUCACACUCUUUCAGUCAACUCUAGAGCUGAUUCCAUCUCCAUUUGGUAUCUGGUUUGAGUUUCGCAGCCAGAAACCUCCUCCUGACUCACUUGCUCUACUUGACCAAUCUCCUUGGAACCUAAACCUUCAGAAAAAACUCUGAGAACAAAAGCAAAAUCAAAAUGUUCCAAGGUCAGAUAGGGAGUGUCCUAUUUUAAUUAGAAUAUUAUAUAUGUAAGAGGGAUUCAUUAUGGUCCAUUCGCAUAUGGACAUAGCAUGAUUUGGUAGACUUUGUUCCCUAUGUCCUUCCCUCCUCCCUCCCUCCCAAUCUCCUUUUUCUACUCUAUUGCCAACUUGGACCUUUAAGGAGCAAAUAUUCUUUAUAGGCUUUCUGUGUUCAAAAUAUUUUUAGCACACUUUGUAAACAAUUCCAAAGUCCUCUUAUCAAGUUCCCGUUACUUGUUUAUUCUUUCAGUAAUCUAGACACUGCUCUGAAAGUGUUUUUGUAGUUGUAAUUAUCAAUCAGUUGGCCCUCCAAUAGAAAUAUCUUUCCAGGUAACCUGAGUGGGCCCAGUGCCAUUAGAUGAGCCCUUAAAAUAAGAGAACUUUCUCAGGCUGGAGUCAAGAAGGAUGAAGCAGAAAGAAAAGUUAGACUCCAAGCAGGAGAAGGAUUAAAUGCACUGUUACUGGAUUUGAAAUGUGUGGACCAGAGAGAGGCCUCUGAAAGUUAAGGAGUGCCCUGCUCACAGCCAGCAAGGAAGUGGAUUCUGCCAACAAUCUGAAUGCCCUUAGAAGCAUAUCUUUUCAAGAGCUUCCACAUCACAGUUUAGCUGUUUAACAUCUUGAUUUUGACCUUGUGAUACUCAAAGUGGAGACAUCAGUUGAGCCAACUCAUAUUUCUGACCCAUAGAACUGUAAGAUAAUAAAUAUGUUGAUUUGAGCAGCUAGGUUUGGGGUCAUUUGUCAUGACUGCAAUAGAAAAUGAAUACGAACUCCUUCAAACUUAAAUGAGAAUUUGACUGGAAAUAAAAUUCUUUUCUUCAAUGCUUUAAAAAUAAUAUUUCUUUAUUUGCACAUGACCAGGGUGGCUGUCCAGGUGUCUGUUGCUCUAUAUCUUUCUUACUUGUUUCUCAGGGCAUUCUGGGAAAGAAGGAUGUGGGUUUGUCAUCUCUGCUGAGUUUUGCAGUUUACUUGGUUGCUGGUCAUGGUCUCUUGGAGUGGGGGAGGUUUAAUUUCUUUCUCUACUUCUUCUGAGGUGCACUCAUAGAUAUGUCAAACUCAUUGUUCUUGUUUUAUUCAGCUACUACUAGUCUCAUAUUCCCCUCUCUUUUAUAAAAAUCAGAAUCAUUGAGAUAAUUUAAGACAACACUCCUUUUUGUGUUUAAAGUCUCUUAUCUUGGGGAGUAUGUUAGAAAUAUGUAGGCUUUUGCUAAUUUAUGUGGCAUAUUCUCAGGGCUACAGAAUUAAAAAGAGGUGCAUGGUAUUACUUCUGCCAUGAGUCAUCUUACCAACGAGUAAAUUUUGAAAAUCUUAUUUCCAUGCAGAACCCUCUUCAGGUUUACAGAGGGGAAAAGAAAACCAAUUUUUUUUUCAAUAAAAACAUAUAAACUUUUAAACAAAAUGAAUGCUGGAAUUACAUUAAGUUCACUUUGACUUCCAGGAUUUUAUAGAUUUCAUAAAACCAGUCCAUGUUAUCCUAGAUUUAUUGUAAUUAUAAUAGGUAUUUUAAUAAAACAUCAUCCUUUUCAGUCAAGGAAGCAUGUGUUAAUAAUAGGCUUUAACACUAGGCAUACUGUUAGCUUCAUUCAUCAGAUAUUAUGAGAUAUUAAACAGAUUUAGUAACAGAAUUUUGUUACUAAAUUAUAAAUAUAUGUAAAUAUUUUGAAAGAUCAGACUUGUUCUUUGAGAAGUAUACUAACAUUUUGCUUUUGAAAAGAAAUCAUCAUUUAUGGAUUUCACAUAUAGAAUGGCACACUGGAAAUCAUGUAAAGUCAAGAGAAUUGUACAUUUAGAGUACAAAUGAGCAUGGAAAUACUUAUUACUGGAGCCACUUCAUGGGAUACCUCUAUGUUUACUGCCACGUGAGCAUUUUUCUGCUUAGAAACGGCAUGACCCUGUCAGCUCUGGCUGACAGACACCAGGUGACCUAGCAACAGUGGAACAGGAACUUAUUUCAAAUAUUCUUAUUCAUUUAUUUAUUUUAUUUGUUCUUUUUAGUUAUACAUGACAGUAGAAUGGGAUUUGACAUAUUUAUACAGACAUGGAGUACAUCUUACUCUAAUUAGGAUACCAGCAUGUGGUUGUACAGAUGUGGUGAUUCACUGUGGUGUAUUUCAGAUCUCCUUUUGCAAAGCGUUUUAUCUAAGAUCCCUCCUCCUCAACAAACUAGCAAACAAGCAAUACCAGCAACAAUAAUGAACAGCAUUGAAGCCUCUGAUGCUUGCACUAUGGGAUGGGAAUUAGAACUGGAGUGAAUUAACAUUUAUCUACUUUUAAAAAUGGUGCAUGGACAAAAUGAGAAGCCAAAAACGUGCAUUUCUCAUGAGACUAUUUUGCUUUGUUAGGCAUGUGCCAAAUAUUGAAUUUGACAUUGAGAAAAGCAGAUAAUUGCUUUUGUUUUCCUUUUUCUAAUUUUUUUUAACCGAAAAGGCAUUUUCUCUUUUUUCCUCCCACAAUAUGAAAAAAUUGCUUUUCAAAGGAUACUAUCUAUUUUUGUUACUGUCAGAAUAUUUCUGAUAUUACUGACAUAUUCUUUAUAUCAGUAAUCCUCAUCUCAAAGGAAUAUGCUUGCCUUCUGUAUGAUUUCAGCUUGUAGAACUUCCUUACCAAGGACUAUUUGAACUCUACCUUUCUCUUAUUUUGCAGGAAUUCUUUCUUACAAUAGUUUUGGUCUCCACUCUUGGUCAAAAGAUGCAUUUUCCUGGUUAUAACAUGGAGUGUCCCUGUCAUUAGUGUUCCAUGGCUGAGUCCAAGUGCACUGCAAGCAAUGCCUAUUUUUUCACAGAUCCUGGAUUCAUCAUUUGUUUGGUAGCCCUUGGUGGGAAGAGGAUGGCUGGGCUCUGAGAGGAAGUGGACAUGUGGCCUGUG
RNAcentral lists this long non-coding RNA (4558 nucleotides) under Marmota monax (woodchuck). The record is from RNAcentral. Lineage: Eukaryota; Metazoa; Chordata; Mammalia; Rodentia; Sciuridae.